GACGAACGCUGGCGGCGUGCUUAACACAUGCAAGUCGAACGGAAAGGCCCUGCUUUUGUGGGGUGCUCGAGUGGCGAACGGGUGAGUAACACGUGAGUAACCUGCCCUUGACUUUGGGAUAACUUCAGGAAACUGGGGCUCAUACCGGAUAGGAGCUCCUGCUGCAUGGUGGGGGUUGGAAAGUUUCGGCGGUUGGGGAUGGACUCGCUGCUUAUCAGCUUGUUGGUGGGGUAGUGGCUUACCAAGGGUUUGACGGGUAGCCGGCCUGAGAGGGUUACCGGGGACAAUGGGACGGAGAGACGGACCAGAAUGCAACGGGAGGGAGGAGGGGGGAAUAUGGGACAAUGGGCGGAAGGGUGAUGGAGAAACGGAGGGAGGGGGAAGACGGGCUUGGGGUUGUAAACAGCAUUAGCCUGAGACGAAGCGUGAGUGACGGUAAUGGGUAAAGAAGCACCGGCUAACUACGUG
RNAcentral lists this ribosomal RNA (468 nucleotides) under uncultured bacterium. Its description in RNAcentral is "partial 16S ribosomal RNA". It matches the Rfam family "Bacterial small subunit ribosomal RNA", at positions 28 to 507 of the family's 1533-position model. The record is from RNAcentral.